GUGUUGUAUGAAAGGAGAGAAAGUUAGCACUCCCCUUGACAAGGAUGCUUCACUCAAGGAUGCAACAUGCAUACGGUUAAGGCACUGCCACCUACUUUCUGGCAACUAACCAAUGUUUAAA
Suncus etruscus (white-toothed pygmy shrew) is the source of this 121-nucleotide small nuclear RNA. Lineage: Eukaryota; Metazoa; Chordata; Mammalia; Eulipotyphla; Soricidae. The record is from RefSeq and is a predicted model, not a curated record.